Long non-coding RNA from Drosophila navojoa, 110 nucleotides. Lineage: Eukaryota; Metazoa; Arthropoda; Insecta; Diptera; Drosophilidae. The record is from RefSeq and is a predicted model, not a curated record.
CGUGUGUGUGUGUCUUGUGUAAGCAGAAAGACGCAAAGAAUUAUUGUGAAAUAGCAAUUAUUCGAAGGGUUCAGGCGAUUUCGUAGCCGAGCAGUCUCGACUAGAGUUUU